GUAGGUGGCAAGCGUUGUCCGGAAUUAUUGGGCGUAAAGCGCGCGCAGGCGGUUCUUUAAGUCUGAUGUGAAAGCCCACGGCUCAACCGUGGAGGGUCAUUGGAAACUGGAGAACUUGAGUACAGAAGAGGAAAGCGGAAUUCCACGUGUAGCGGUGAAAUGCGUAGAGAUGUGGAGGAACACCAGUGGCGAUGGCGGCUUUCUGGUCUGUAACUGACGCUGAGGCGCGAAAGCGUGGGGAGCAAACAGGAUUAGAUACCCUGGUAGUCCACGCCGUAAACGAUGAGUGCUAAGUGUUAGGGGGGUUUUCCGCCCCCCUUAGUGCUGCAGCUAACGCAUUAAGCACUCCGCCUGGGAGUACGGCCGCAAGGCUG
Molecule: ribosomal RNA, 374 nt
Filed under: uncultured organism
Description: partial 16S ribosomal RNA
Rfam family: Bacterial small subunit ribosomal RNA
Source: RNAcentral